This 497-nucleotide ribosomal RNA is filed under the name uncultured bacterium. Its description in RNAcentral is "partial 16S ribosomal RNA". It matches the Rfam family "Bacterial small subunit ribosomal RNA", at positions 28 to 507 of the family's 1533-position model. The record is from RNAcentral.
GAUGAACGCUGGCGGCGUGCCUAAUACAUGCAAGUCGAGCGAACGGACGAGGAGCUUGCUCCUCUGACGUUAGCGGCGGACGGGUGAGUAACACGUGGAUAACCUACCUAUAAGACUGGGAUAACUUCGGGAAACCGGAGCUAAUACCGGAUAAUAUAUUGAACCGCAUGGUUCAAUAGUGAAAGACGGUUUUGCUGUCACUUAUAGAUGGAUCCGCGCCGCAUUAGCUAGUUGGUAAGGUAACGGCUUACCAAGGCAACGAUGCGUAGCCGACCUGAGAGGGUGAUCGGCCACACUGGAACUGAGACACGGUCCAGACUCCUACGGGAGGCAGCAGUAGGGAAUCUUCCGCAAUGGGCGAAAGCCUGACGGAGCAACGCCGCGUGAGUGAUGAAGGUCUUCGGAUCGUAAAACUCUGUUAUUAGGGAAGAACAAAUGUGUAAGUAACUAUGCACGUCUUGACGGUACCCAAUCAGAAAGCCACGGCUAACUACGUG